CAAAACACUGGUUCCCAUAUGAUCACUGAAGUUAAGCAAUGUUGAGCUUGGUCAGUACUUUGAUGGGUGACCACUUAGGAAUAGCAUGUUCUGUA
Molecule: non-coding RNA, 95 nt
Organism: Acanthosepion pharaonis
Lineage: Eukaryota; Metazoa; Mollusca; Cephalopoda; Sepiida; Sepiidae
Source: the annotation of a GenBank genome assembly